UACGGGAGGCAGCAGUAGGGAAUCUUCCACAAUGGACGAAAGUCUGAUGGAGCAACGCCGCGUGAGUGAAGAAGGGUUUCGGCUCGUAAAACUCUGUUGUUAAAGAAGAACAUAUCUGAGAGUAACUGUUCAGGUAUGACGGAUUAACCAGAAA
RNAcentral lists this ribosomal RNA (154 nucleotides) under uncultured Lactobacillus sp. RNAcentral describes it as "partial 16S ribosomal RNA". It matches the Rfam family "Bacterial small subunit ribosomal RNA", at positions 340 to 489 of the family's 1533-position model. Lineage: Bacteria; Bacillati; Bacillota; Bacilli; Lactobacillales; Lactobacillaceae. The record is from RNAcentral.